UGCCAGCAGCCGCGGUAAUACGUAGGUCCCGAGCGUUAUCCGGAAUUAUUGGGCGUAAAGGGCACGUAGGCGGACAAUAAGUUUGAUGUCAAAUAUGAUGGCUCAACCAUCAAGAGGCGUUGAAAACUGUUUAUCUAGAAUCUCGGAGAGGUAAGUGGAAUUCCAUGUGUAGCGGUGGAAUGCGUAGAUAUAUGGAGGAACACCAAUGGCGAAGGCAGCUUACUGGACGAAGAUUGACGCUGAGGUGCGAAAGCGUGGGUAGCAAACAGGAUUAGAUACCCUGGUAG
This 287-nucleotide ribosomal RNA is filed under the name uncultured bacterium. RNAcentral's name for it is "partial 16S ribosomal RNA". It matches the Rfam family "Bacterial small subunit ribosomal RNA", at positions 506 to 793 of the family's 1533-position model. The record is from RNAcentral.